GAGCCAUAUCUUCUGGUAUCAAAUCCAUGGAGAUUUGCAAACAACAGCUCAAAAAUUUUGGUGGGAUGGGCCACAACAAGUAGGUUGCUAUUCAUGAGCCAUAAAGGCUAGUCAACCUUUUUAUGUACGCCAUCUUUCGGUGAUCAUGUGGGUGAUUCUUUAUGCCACGAACAAGCCGCAAGAAACAAGCUGUUGUUCAUGAUGUUUGCCUUAUAGGCCUUACUCGUUUGCAUGCGGACUCCAUCAUGCAUUAUUGCAUUUAGCUCAUUAGAGCACAUCUAGUAGUAUUUUUUCUUUGGAAGUUGUCUCGUAUUAGUUUUCAUGUUUGUAUGAGCUUCACUGGAGAAGUUUUCAUCCUUCAUCUAUGCCCGCUAUGUAGUGAGGUGAUGAAGAUGACAAUUAGAGGUGUGCAAAAAGCCAAUCAAACCAUGAGUCCAAUCUGAAUCGAUAAUUUCAAUUUGAUUUAAGUUCAUUUUUGCAUAGCUGAUUCGGUUCCAGCUUCCAAAAUUUUCAAAUUGAAAAAGUCAGGUGUGUAAAAAGCCAAUCAAACCAUGCAUCCAAUCAGAACUGAUGGUUUCAAUUUGAUUUGAGUUCAUUUUUGCAUAGCCGAUUGGAUUCUAGCUUCCAAAUUUUUCAAAUUGAAAAAGUCAGUUUGGUUUCAAUUUGAAUUUUUUUUUAAAGGAAAAUAGAGACUAGCCGUGCAUACCAUUAGGCACCAAAAUUUAUUAAGAAAAAAUAGUUACAAGUUAUUGAGAAGUCAAGGAUGCAUAAGAGAAAGGGGAAAG
This 785-nucleotide long non-coding RNA is filed under the name Elaeis guineensis (African oil palm). Its description in RNAcentral is "long non-coding RNA (EGUI_LNC009950)". Lineage: Eukaryota; Viridiplantae; Streptophyta; Magnoliopsida; Arecales; Arecaceae. The record is from RNAcentral.